ACAUCGUAACCAGAGACCAGGUAGCUUUCAUCAGGAAGAGGCAACGAUAAUUGACAUCCCAAAAUGCGGCAUCGUAAUCAACAACCAGGCUUCGUUCAUCCGGCAGUGAUAGAUGUCCACCCUCGGUGGCCACAAGCUGUCAUUGGCGACAAGGUUAAUCUGGUGUUACAUCCUUAAAUGCGGUGUGGGGACAUGUUACCUUCUACAACACCUGCCAGUUACGCCGCUUCAUGUGCAGGAAUUGACAACCUCUGAUACACUCGAUAUCAAUAUAUCUUAUCCAUAAACUAUUCAAAACAUUCUAUCAAUCUUGACAACUGGCAUUUUCCAAAGAUGCCAACUUAACAUGUUGGAAUUAUCAGGAUCUGCUUUGUAUGUUUCAAACUUGGUACAACGUCCUGCUUUUGACACUAUCGUCCUCCUACAAGUCCCGGAUGUUGUCCAUGGGUACCUCCUGAUGACUCGGCAGCUCUGAGGUGUUAAGGGGUGUUUCAUAUUUCAUGGCUCACAUUUCUACCUGAAACACCCGCUAACACCUUCUAGUUGAACGAUGACUCGGUCGCAUUCACAAACAUUUUCUCGGGUAAUUUGUAUUUGGACAACGUCAGUCAGGGUUUUAAU
Molecule: long non-coding RNA, 621 nt
Organism: Haliotis rufescens (red abalone)
Lineage: Eukaryota; Metazoa; Mollusca; Gastropoda; Lepetellida; Haliotidae
Exons: 3
Source: RefSeq, a predicted model, not a curated record